This 137-nucleotide small nucleolar RNA is filed under the name Dasypus novemcinctus (nine-banded armadillo). RNAcentral's name for it is "Small nucleolar RNA SNORA70 (ENSDNOG00000049099.1)". It matches the Rfam family "Small nucleolar RNA SNORA70". Rfam says of the family: snoRNA U70 seems to be exclusive to mammals and is a member of the H/ACA class of snoRNA which contain H (ANANNA) and ACA box motifs. H/ACA box snoRNAs are involved in the conversion of uridines to pseudouridines (5-ribosyluracil) a constituent of structural RNAs (transfer, ribosomal, small nuclear, and small nucleolar). Lineage: Eukaryota; Metazoa; Chordata; Mammalia; Cingulata; Dasypodidae. The record is from RNAcentral.
GUGAAGUAAAUGGAAGAAAACAGAGAGCCAAAGACCAAAACUGACCCAGUGUGCAAUGAAUGCAGACAGCAGCCUCCCUGUUAGUGAACGCAGCCUACUGCUUGUAUGGGGCGCCCUAAGGGACCUUGGAAACAGCC